GCCCCAGUGGGCUUCCUUAAGGGGAGGAUAGGGGUAUUACAGGGCGAGCUGAUGAGGUAUGAGGAGCCCCUGUUGUUUGAGGCGGUCUAUGAUGAACUUAAAUCCUUAUAGGUGUGUCAGGGAGAUGGGGAACUGAGGACGGGCUGGAUAGGUAGAUUGGUCUUUGAGUCUGAUUUUUAUAGGUUGAUGGUGUGACACCACAACUGGCUUGGAGGUAUCCCAGACCAGGGGGACACCAGAAGGGGAAGAGUAAGGUGGCUAGAGGUGGUGGGAGAGGGGGAGAGUCGUAUAGUGGCCCUGAGUUUAUGGAGAAUGUCCCUUCCAAGAAGGGACACCGGGCAAGAGGGAAUGAUAAGGGAAGAGUGAGCAAAAGGGAACCCGUCCAAGCUACAAGUGAGGGGCGGGGUUGACCUAGGACUGGAGGAGGUGCCAUCAGUUCCCAUCACCAUCACUGGGGAGGGGUGACUAGGUCCCGAAUAGGAGGGCAGGACAGAAUAGGUCACCCCCGUGUCCAGCAAGAAGGAUAUGGACUUACCCGCUACCUGGAGCGUAACCCUGGGCUUGGCAUGGGUGAGUAGGGUGUCCGAGUCUGGGCGCUGUCAGUCGUCCUCCACACCCAGUAGUCGGAAAGCCGGAUUCACCGAUUCAGGGUCUCCUCCACGUGGAGGCGGAUCUAAUUGGGUUAUUGGGUUAAGGCUUCCCUAAGUCUAUUUAGAAACACGGGAGGGUUCUCAUCGGGGUUCUCAACGAUUUCUCGCAGUUUGUCAUAAUUGACCACCUUGUUUGAGGCCGCCCUCAUGCCCGCCAGGAGGCAUUGCCCCAUGCGGUCCCGGCGUCCGCGGCCCUCCUGGCCGGCCUGGUAAUCCCAUCCGGGAUCCGCCGCUGGGAUCCACUGCCAGGAUCUGCCUCCGGGAUCCGCCGGGGCGCCCACGGGCAUCGUGAGGCCGGGAGCCGGGCCUGGUCGGCGUGUUCCCGCGCCGCUGCCGACUGCGCUCUCUCUUCAGGAGUGAGAGUCGUGGUCUGCACCACAGGUAGGUGGUGCCAUGUAAGGUCACAGGCCUGAGCUAAACACUGAAAUUCUUUGAUGUAGUUACCUGGGCUGGCAGAGAAAGAGCCCAGCCGUUUUUCAGCUCCUCCCGCAAGGGGCAGACAAGGCCCGACGGUGUCUGGUGAGAUCUGGGCCGGCGGCGACCGGAGGGGAGGUCGAGGAGGUGGGGGAGCCGGAGGGGAAGGAGUAGGAGGGACAGCGUUGGGUUCAGGGUAAGGGGGAGGUGGAGGAGCCGCUGGCCCCAAGCGGUGGGAGGAUGUGAGGUUCUCCGGGCUUUCGGAAAGGGGAGAAGGGGAGUAAGAGUCGAGGUCCUUGGGGUUGGUAGGAGGUAUGUCGGGAGGUGGGGUACGGGCAAGUAGGACUUGGGUAGGCGAACAUCGAAGGCGGAGGGAGGGCCAGGAGCGCAGAUCCCAGGAAGCUUGUAUGUAAGGAACCUCGGACCAUUUGCCUUGGUGUCUGCAAAGGUUAUCAAGAUCCAUAAGAAUUUGGUAAUCGAAAGUUCCCUCUGGAGGCCUUCGGGACCGGUUGUCUAAUUGGUAUUGAGGCCAGGCUCCCGUACAACAAUGGGUAAGGCGACGCCUCCUCAGGUCAUGGGAGAACCCCAAGACGUCAAGGUUAGGCAGCCCAAUGGAGUUUUCAGACCAAUCCUGGACUGGGUGUUUCCCAUAGUCCUGGUUGGGCAAUUCCAAGGUCAAAACCCGGGGUCCCGGUUCGUCCUUGGAAUUAGAGCGAGGACGACCGCGGACGGCGAGCUCCCCCACACCCCGCGGGGCAGGAGGCCGCUGGUGGUCCUGGCCGGGAGAGGAGUCAGCCGUCCGUCACCCAGGCUUGAGAUCUUCUGGGAACUGGAAGGAGAUAUUAAUGAUGACGUGCAGCAGAGGUAGUGAGCAAACAGUGAGUUCCACAAGAGUUCACAGAGAAGAGAGUCAAAGGCAGCAAGAGACCAUUCGUGCAGGAGCUGAGGGGCAUGGAAUCCAGAUAUUGAGCAACCUAAGAGGCAGAUCCUGCCUUCCCACUUAGAACAGCAGGAAGUGCGAGCCGUGCUCCCUGGCCACAAGGGUAUUGAUUUUCCUUUAUAAGAUAAAGAAACCAAUGUAAAGGUAUCCUCUCCUCUUCUGGACGUUUGUGUGCUUCCAUGUGACAUAUAAGCCUUUGGGAUAUUGGUAGAAAUGAGGAGGAACACCAUGGCUGACGUGCUUGAAGAUCCCAGAGUGGAGAGGCAGGGAGCAUCAGCGUUGGGUGAGCAGCAUGGUGGGGGGUGCCCAAAUUUUGGACUUCCUCUACAUUUUUAUGCCACAGUAUCAACGCUGGAACUACCUUACCUGGGACUUGACUGAGGUUACAAGCUCUGCUUGAAGUGACUGUUAGCUGGGUAUCCGUUUCAUCCCACUGUAUCGUGCUGCAGAGUGCAUUCCUCCCCUGAAGAAGUGGGCAGCAUGCAGCUCCUGCCGGUUGCUGCCAGACCAGGAGUCCUCAGGAGCAGCCAGGACUUCAGAUUUUUAUAUAAAACUCCAGAUUUAAAAAAAAAAAAAAAAAAACCUCCAGAUUUUUUAAU
Canis lupus familiaris (dog) is the source of this 2603-nucleotide long non-coding RNA. RefSeq lists it as uncharacterized. The transcript is spliced from 5 exons. NCBI's taxonomy places the organism in Eukaryota, Metazoa, Chordata, Mammalia, Carnivora, Canidae. The record is from RefSeq and is a predicted model, not a curated record.